Medicago truncatula (barrel medic) is the source of this 1751-nucleotide RNA transcript. It is a transcript of the gene named ELMO domain-containing protein B, with no coding region annotated. The record is from RefSeq and is a predicted model, not a curated record. Lineage: Eukaryota; Viridiplantae; Streptophyta; Magnoliopsida; Fabales; Fabaceae. The transcript has 10 exons.
GAAACGGCAACACCAUAUUAUAAGAAGGAAGAGUGAGAGAGAGAAGAGAGUUUUAUCACCGUUGUGCAGCAAGCAAACUAUAACCGUAACUGUUUUCCAUUCCAAUCCUAUCAGAUCUCUCAAUCUAACCCUAACUCUUCUCUCUCUCUCUCUCUCUCUCACCGGAUUCUGUUUCUCUCCGAUUCAUUCAUCUCCGGUUCCGGUUACUUGAUGAUGAUGAUGAUGUUAUACUAGUAGUGGAUAUUGUUGCAGAAGAAGAAAAUAAAUGGAUGAUAGAGGUGCUUCAUUCGUUGCUGUUCGAAGACCCAAUCCUCACACCGAUACCUGCAAUUCUAAUUCUGCUGAGGCUGUGGCAGGAUCAGCAGCAUGGCUUGGUAGAGGUCUGUCUUGUGUCUGUGCACAGAGAAGAGAUAGCGAUGCGGGUAGCUUUUUCGAUUUAACUCUAGCCCAGGAGGAGUGCUUGGAGAGGCUACAGAGACGAAUAGAAGUUCCAUAUGAUGGUUCUAUAGUUGAGCACCAGGAGGCCCUUAAGGCUUUAUGGAAGGUUGCAUUUCCUGAAGAAGAACUUCGUGGCUUGAUAUCGGAGCAGUGGAAGGAAAUGGGCUGGCAAGGGAAGGAUCCAUCAACAGAUUUUAGGGGUGGCGGUUUUAUUUCUUUGGAGAAUUUUCUGUUCUUUGCUAGGAAUUUCCCGAAAUCCUUCCAGGAUCUGUUAUGGAAGCGGGAAGGAGAUCGUUCCGUGUGGGAGUACCCGUUUGCCGUUGCUGGUGUUAACAUCACAUUCAUGCUGGUGCAGAUGCUUGAUCUUGAAGCAGUCAAGCCACGCACACUGGUGGGAGCAACUUUUCUAAAGUUUCUUGAAGAAAAUGAAUCAGCUUUUGAUCUUCUCUACUGCAUAGCUUUCAAGCUGAUGGAUCACCAAUGGCUUUCUAUGCGUGCCUCAUACAUGGAUUUCAAUGAAACAAUCAAAUAAAAGUGUCAUGAAUAGGAACCACAAACAUUUUAAUGGAGAACCGACAUUUAUCAUCAUUAAAAUAGAGAGAUGAGAGAUUGUCUUGGAGACAGUGAUGAAAUCUACACGUCAAGAGCUAGAAAAAGAGCUUCUUCAAGAAGUUUCUCGUCUUGAAGAUUUACCCUCAUACAAACUACUUUCACAAUAGAUAUCAGUCUAAAGAAACCUGUCAGUCUCCUAGAGUUUAGCUUUGAAGGCCUUUGUGCAUGGACGAUGUGCUUCUAUUAUAAUUUCCGUGCCUGCCAUUCAGCAUGCAAUAACAUUUCAGCAAGACUGAGUCAAAACUUCUAACACUAAUGUGAGCUUAAAAAGCCUCACAGACUUACAGUGUGUAUGGAUAAGAUUGUAAUCAUCGCAAACUGAAAAAUAACAAUUCCCAAGGAGGUGAUUUCUUCCAAAGGAAUGAUUUGUUGCUUGUGCUUCCAUUAGAAUGGUGUUGGGAGGCUCCUGAACGCUAAAUGGUGAAGUCAGCAAGGUUUGAGACGCAGUAGAUAAGUUCUUAGUCAAAUUGAGGAUGAUAUUGUUGACAGACAUGAUUACCGGAGUCUUAAAUGUAAAAUUGUUGGGUGUUAAAUUUUUAAUGAAUUGUGGUGUGUCACUUUUGCGUGGUUUCCCCCGCGGACCGCGGUUCAUGGUUCAUUAACGGGUAAAUGCAGCUUGCAGUAUUGUAUUUCAGCGGAGUUUUGAGGUGACUGAAUCUUGCUCAUUUGUUUCUGAAGGAGUCAUAUUUGUUUGAGUAAUA